GAUCCAUACGCUCCUUUAUGCGCUCAAAUCGCUACUGGAAGUGAUCAAACCGAGAGGUGACUUCAGUCUGAUACUAAUCGAGAUGCUCCUCUAUAGAGUAGAAGCGGGAGUCAUGGAUUAGGGCAAGCUCCUCCAUACGAGUCCCAAGAGAGCUGAUCUGCGCGGAGAGAUCCAUCCAAGGCGCAUGAUCAGGAACAUGAGGUGCCUGAGAUGGUAGCUCGGUAAAUGAUGGCUGAGAUGAAGGGCCUGCUAUGAAGGACGACUCAGUCAUCAUAGGCUCGGAGAAGGUAGCCUCAACAUGAAUGCCCUCUGACUAAUGUGGAGGCGGAAUGUCAA
RNAcentral lists this long non-coding RNA (336 nucleotides) under Vitis vinifera (wine grape). RNAcentral describes it as "long non-coding RNA (VVIN_LNC003041)". The record is from RNAcentral. Lineage: Eukaryota; Viridiplantae; Streptophyta; Magnoliopsida; Vitales; Vitaceae.